ACCUCACAAAACUACAGAUCCCAGCAUUCCCCAUGACAUUUAAAAGCGGCCCGAAAGCGGAUUAUCCUGGUGCCGUGCGCAAAGGCAAGCCCUGAGGGAGAAGGGCUGCCGUAGCAGCAGCAGCAGCAGCAGCAGCAGAGAAAGGGUUAACCUUCCCGCCCGCCUCUGUCUCCAGGGGUGACGUCACGGGGUCAAGGGGAGCCGGAAGUGGCUGCAGGGAGGGGGCGGGGCGGGGGUUUGAAUCCCCGCCCACCGUCCUCCUCUCCGGGACUCGGAGAGAGCAGCUCCUGCCUGGAGUCAGGGCUCUCUCUCUCUCGGGAGGGUCUGGGCCCCGGGCGGGGAGCCUGGCCAGCCCCUGGGGGAAGCCCCAUCCUGGGCCAGGCGCGGGGGCUCUGUCGGCAGCGCCGGAAAUGCCAAGGAUGGAAUAGAUUCAACACAAACAGCUGCCCUUCCUGCAAGACACCCAGGUCAUGCCUUCGUCCGUUGGGCUGGAGGGCCCUCGCAGUCUCUUCCAACUCUGCCGUUCUAUGAGUCUCUCCCUUGUCUUUCAGGUCUGACAGAAAUCCAGUGUGGCUUGGAGUCCUCCCAGAAGAGAUCCAUCCAAAUUCCUAUUUCUUAGGGUGCAAACACAUCCAUGGGGCAAAAUGCUCUCCACCAACACCCCCCCCCCCAAACUCAAUGCUAUUAAAAGCACUCCUCUGCCAUUAA
Long non-coding RNA from Sceloporus undulatus (fence lizard), 708 nucleotides. RefSeq lists it as uncharacterized. The record is from RefSeq and is a predicted model, not a curated record. The transcript has 2 exons. NCBI's taxonomy places the organism in Eukaryota, Metazoa, Chordata, Lepidosauria, Squamata, Phrynosomatidae.